RNAcentral lists this ribosomal RNA (497 nucleotides) under uncultured bacterium. Its description in RNAcentral is "partial 16S ribosomal RNA". It matches the Rfam family "Bacterial small subunit ribosomal RNA", at positions 28 to 507 of the family's 1533-position model. The record is from RNAcentral.
GACGAACGCUGGCGGCGUGCCUAAUACAUGCAAGUUGAGCGCUGAAGGUUGGUACUUGUACCAACUGGAUGAGCAGCGAACGGGUGAGUAACGCGUGGGGAAUCUGCCUUUGAGCGGGGGACAACAUUUGGAAACGAAUGCUAAUACCGCAUAAAAACUUUAAACACAAGUUUUAAGUUUGAAAGAUGCAAUUGCAUCACUCAAAGAUGAUCCCGCGUUGUAUUAGCUAGUUGGUGAGGUAAAGGCGCACCAAGGCGAUGAUACAUAGCCGACCUGAGAGGGUGAUCGGCCACAUUGGGACUGAGACACGGCCCAAACUCCUACGGGAGGCAGCAGUAGGGAAGCUUCGGCAAUGGACGAAAGUCUGACCGAGCAACGCCGCGUGAGUGAAGAAGGUUUUCGGAUCGUAAAACUCUGUUGGUAGAGAAGAACGUUGGUGAGAGUGGAAAGCUCAUCAAGUGACGGUAACUACCCAGAAAGGGACGGCUAACUACGUG